Molecule: ribosomal RNA, 497 nt
Filed under: uncultured bacterium
Lineage: Bacteria
Description: partial 16S ribosomal RNA
Rfam family: Bacterial small subunit ribosomal RNA
Source: RNAcentral
GACGAACGCUGGCGGCGUGCCUAAUACAUGCAAGUAGAACGCUGAAGAGAGGAGCUUGCUCUUCUUGGAUGAGUUGCGAACGGGUGAGUAACGCGUAGGUAACCUGCCUUGUAGCGGGGGAUAACUAUUGGAAACGAUAGCUAAUACCGCAUAACAAUGGAUGACACAUGUCAUUUAUUUGAAAGGGGCAAUUGCUCCACUACAAGAUGGACCUGCGUUGUAUUAGCUAGUAGGUGAGGUAAUGGCUCACCUAGGCGACGAUACAUAGCUGACCUGAGAGGGUGCUCGGCCACACUGGGACUGAGACACGGCCCAGACUCCUACGGGAGGCAGCAGUAGGGAAUCUUCGGCAAUGGGGGCAACCCUGACCGAGCAACGCCGCGUGAGUGAAGAAGAUUUUCGGAUCGUAAAGCUCUGUUGUAAGUCAAGAACGGGUGUGAGAGUGGAAAGUUCACACUGUGACGGUAGCUUACCAGAAAGGGACGGCUAACUACGUG